UACGAAGGGGGCUAGCGUUGUUCGGAAUUACUGGGCGUAAAGCGCGCGCAGGCGGCGGUGCUGGCCCGGCGUGAAAGCCCCCGGCUCAACCGGGGAGAGUCGUCGGGGACCGCACCGCUUGAGGGCGGUAGGGGCUGGUGGAAUGCCUGGUGUAGUGGUGAAAUGCGUAGAGAUCAGGCAGAACACCUGGGGCGAAGGCGGCCAGCUGGGCCGUCCCUGACGCUGAGGCGCGAAGGCGUGGGGAGCGAACGGG
Molecule: ribosomal RNA, 253 nt
Filed under: uncultured bacterium
Lineage: Bacteria
Description: partial 16S ribosomal RNA
Rfam family: Bacterial small subunit ribosomal RNA
Source: RNAcentral